Molecule: ribosomal RNA, 367 nt
Filed under: uncultured bacterium
Lineage: Bacteria
Description: bacterial SSU rRNA
Rfam family: Bacterial small subunit ribosomal RNA
Source: RNAcentral
AGUGAACGCUGGCGGCAGGCCUAACACAUGCAAGUCGAGCGGCAGCGCGGGUAGCAAUACCUGGCGGCGAGCGGCGGACGGGUGAGGAAUACAUCGGAAUCUGCCUUGUUGUGGGGGAUAACGUAGGGAAACUUACGCUAAUACCGCAUAAGACCGUAAGGUGAAAGCGGGGGAUCGAAAGACCUCGCGCGACAAGAUGAGCCGAUGUCGGAUUAGCUAGUUGGCGGGGAAUGGCCCACCAAGGCGACGAUCCGUAGCUGGUCUGAGAGGAUGAUCAGCCACACUGGAACUGAGACACGGUCCAGACUCCUACGGGAGGCAGCAGUGGGAAUAUUGGACAAUGGCGCAAGCCUGAUCCAGCCAUGCC